Molecule: long non-coding RNA, 1083 nt
Organism: Hipposideros armiger (great roundleaf bat)
Lineage: Eukaryota; Metazoa; Chordata; Mammalia; Chiroptera; Hipposideridae
Exons: 3
Source: RefSeq, a predicted model, not a curated record
AUUGAAAAGGUACAAUUCAAUAUCCCUUAAUCCAUUGAGAGAGUUGUGCAACUAUCAGAAUUAUAGACCAUUUCCAUCACCUCAAAAGAAACCCCACAUCACUUAGUGUCACUCCCAGCUUCCUGCCUCUCCCAGCCCCAGACAGCCACCAAUCUACUUCCUGCCACUAUAGAUUUGCCUAUUCUGGUCAUUCAUAUAAACGGAAUCACACAACAUGAGGUCCUUCGUGACUAGAUUCUUUCACGUAACAUCCCAUUUCCAGGGUUUCCCCAUGUUAUAGCACAUACCAAUAUGUUAGGUUGCCCAACAUUUUCAAACAAUUAAACAUAAAAUUAAAACCCUAAUUUGAUAGAGAAUCGUUCAACCAAAUGUUCACUUUCCACCUCUGUAAACAAAAGAAAAAAAAAAGGAAACCAGCCUUCCUUCACUCUGCAGCCAGACUGUGUGUACAGAUUGAUGGCACAUUCUUAACUAUACAGUUUUGGGGAUGACUUUUCUCAUCUGCUAGAGCAAGUUGUUUUCAUCUACUCAUCUGAGUACUUGCUAACGCAUCCCAACAUAAUUAGCUGCUAGGGAUGAAUUGAUUUGGGAACUUGGUUUAGGGCAAGAUUCUGCUAUUUCCAUGUCAGUGGCUUACUCUGUAUCUCAUCGUCAUAUAAUUUGUAUGUUCAGUCUAUGAGGUAGCAUCCACAUGUAGUCCAUGCUGAUUACACACUGCGUAGCACAGGGAUAAAGUGACUUACAAACUAUUACUAGCAGACAAAAAGUACUGUUGGGUAGAGGAAUUGAUAAAAUUAUGAAGCCCUGAGGAUGUAUUUUGGGCUUCCAGCUCCCCAUUUGCUGCCGUCGUCAAUGGUGUGAAGAAUGAUUUCUGCAUAACUUGUCCUGAGGAUGAAAAAGAAGAGUUCAGGAACUACCAGGGCUUAACACAAUCUCAGGAAUCUAGUUUCCACCAAGAAAAGAAGAAAAAUGAGAAAUUACAAAAAGAGGUUGCCAGGUUGAAGACACACUUGAAGGUGAUGCACGGGAUCUUAAAUGAAUAUGAAAACGAACAGUUUAGUUUCCCUGAAGAUUCAAAACCCA